CCGUGAGGGAAAGAUGAAAAGAACUUUGAAAAGAGAGUUAAACAGUAUGUGAAAUUGUUAAAAGGGAACCGUUUGGAGCCAGACUGGCUUGUCUGUAAUCAAUCUAGGCUUCGGCCUGGAUGCACUUGCAGGCUAUGCCUGCCAACGACAAUUUGACUUGAGGGAAAAAACUAGGGGAAAUGUGGCCCACUUGUGGGUGUUAUAGUCCCUUAGAAAAUACCUUGGGUUGGAUUGAGGAACGCAGCGAAUGCUUAUUGGCGAGUUUUCCAGGAAGGUUUUCUGAGGUACUACGGUAUCAAGGUUGAUCUUUUUGGUUAUACUUCUAUUCGCUUAGGUUGUUGGCUUAAUGACUCUAAAUGACCC
This 363-nucleotide ribosomal RNA is filed under the name Rhizopus arrhizus. Its description in RNAcentral is "eukaryotic LSU rRNA". It matches the Rfam family "Eukaryotic large subunit ribosomal RNA", at positions 351 to 650 of the family's 3401-position model. RNAcentral also lists the same sequence under 2 other names. Lineage: Eukaryota; Fungi; Mucoromycota; Mucoromycetes; Mucorales; Rhizopodaceae. The record is from RNAcentral.